Long non-coding RNA from Octopus sinensis (East Asian common octopus), 5148 nucleotides. RefSeq lists it as uncharacterized. The record is from RefSeq and is a predicted model, not a curated record. NCBI's taxonomy places the organism in Eukaryota, Metazoa, Mollusca, Cephalopoda, Octopoda, Octopodidae. The transcript is spliced from 2 exons.
GCUUUCAUCCUUUUAGGGGUUGAUAAGAUGGUAUCGGUCAAGCAUUGGGGUUGGUGUAAUCAGGUAGUCCCCACCCCACCAAAUUUCAGGCUUUGUGCCGAAAGCAGAAGGGCGGAUUAUGGCAUUGAGCUGGCUGAACCUUUAUUGGACAGAAUGCUUAGCAGCUUUUCUUGCGUUCUGAGUUCAAACCCCACCAAGGUUGACUUUGCCUUUCAUCCUUUCGGGGCUCAAUAGAAUAGGUACCAGUUGGACACUGGGGUCGAUGAUAUCAAUUUGCCCUUCCCCUCAACAUUGUACGUAAAUUAGAAGGACUUAUCAUUAUUACUACUUCUGGCCCUUAACAUCCUUAGUUCAGAUACCGUCAUGGUUAAAUUUGUUUUUCAUCCUUCUAGGGUUGAUAAAAACGCAAUACCAGUCAAGUAUAGGGGCUGAUACUGUCAACUGACCCCAACUUUACUCAAAAUUGCUCUCCUGAUUCCUAAAUUAGAAACACUGCUGCUGCUGCUACAAGAUUUCACCACUCUUCCUCCUCUCUCUAGUACUGACCUUGUAUCUUAAUUCUGAUCUCUGAUUUAGGCGCAAGGCCAAUAAUGUUGGUGGUGGCAGGUAGGGGUCAAUUUGAAUUGACUCCCAAUACUUCACCUUGCUUUAUUUCAUUGACAAAAGGGUGAAAAGCAAAGGUGACUUUAGGAGGAUUUGAACACAAAAUACUGCGAAACAUUUUGUCUGGCAUUCUAACAAUUCUGGUUUGAAGCAAAGUUCUUGUUGAUCUGAAUCCCUAGUUUCAAUUUCGGUCCCUCUUCCCAAUUAGAACCAUUUAAUUUGGCCAUUAAUGUUGGUGAGAAAGGCAUGAAUAUCGUACAUUCCCAUAUUUAGUCUCCUGCAAAUUGGAGGUGUCAUAUGUCUGUGAGAUAUCAUUGAUUUAUGUGAUGGCCAAAUCAGGGUAGGGCUGAAUCGGGGUAGAGAAAGUGAGGGAGAGCUUUCAACUAAAUUCUUUGUAUAACAAACUUUAUAAGGUUUGUCUUUUCUUUUGUUUCUAGUUCUGAGUUCUCAUUCUGCCACAGACAUUUUUGUGCUUCACCCUUUUCCAAGGGUGGGUGGGGGUUAAUCAAAUAUAUACCUGUCAUAAACUGGUGUUGGUGGUACUGAUUAACCCCGCAACCUCGUCUCAAAAUUACUGGCUUUGUGUCUAAUGGAAUCUCUUCUGGCUCUCUCUCUGUUCUGAAUUCAAAUUCUGCCACUGUCAACUUUGCCUUUAAAAAAAAAAUAUCAGUAAAAUACUGGGGUUUCUGGUCUUCACUAAGGCCCAUCCCUGAAGCUGCUCACCCUGUGUUAAGCUUAGUCUUUAUUCUAAAUCUAAGCACAAUGGAGUUGGAAUGCUUACAAACAUUUGCAUCAUUUCUACCAAAUAAUGUCUUUGAUCUGUAAAGUGAGGGUAUCCUACCUCACUUCCAUCUCCAGUUGCCUGUUAAGAUAUCUGAUCUUCAUAAUUAACUUAAGCUCUUUUGUAUUCUGCUGUGUAUUCAUUCAAAGUGGACAUCUUUUUCUCCUGCCCUCACUCUACAACCCCUUCCCCCCUCUUCUCUUAAUCUGUUUUUCUUUGGGAAGCUUGUGUAUAUAUAUUUAAUAUAAAAUGAGCAAUCUUGUUAAAAAACCACAAAUGAAAGAAAAACGAAAGAAAACCAUUUUUUCUGCUGAUUUUUAAACUUUAAUUGCUGUAUGUGUGUGUGUGUGUGUGUGUGUGAGAUGGGAUUGGAACUAGAAUUACCAAGUUAUGUGUUGCUUUGACAUAAGAAAGAUAUGUGACCUUGUGGUUACAGAGUCAGAGGGGUCUUGACCUCAUGAUCGUGCAUUGUAUCUUCGAGCAAUGUACUUCAUUUCACGUUAUUCCAGUCUACUUGGCUGGAAAAAAAAAUGUCAGCUAAAUGCUAGGGCAGCCAUCUGUCUCCCUUCAACUAUCACAUCCUUCAGGUUUCCUUCGAGGACUGAUAGGAUAUCUGUGUCUGCUCACAACUACACAGGCACCUAAAACAGUUUGUGAAAGCGGGAUACAUGUUACCAAACCACAUUCGUUUGUGAGUGAUGGCCAGCUGUAGCUGUGUCUUUUGUUUUUCUUCUGGUGGGAGGAGAUGGAGGGCAAAUCAGAAGUAUUCCCUGCUGUGUUACAAGAGAGAAGAAUGCAAUGGGAUGGACACGGAGAGAAUGGAGGCUGGUUGGUUAAUGGCUGGGUGGAAGAGAGUGAUGCUGGUAGAAAGUGGAAGACUGAAGAUGCAAGCAAAAGUAGGGAGAACUCGAGAUACAGAGUUUAGCAUCUUCUGAUCCAUCAACAUCUCACUGUUCAGCAUCAUUUGAUCAAGAGGUUAGUGGGAAACUGAUCUCAGGAUGCUGACCUUAACAUCUCCUGAUCAAGAUAUCUCAUCUUACCAUCAUGUGAUCAGAAAGCUGAUUGGUGACAGCAGACCAUAGGAGGUUGAACUUAUCACCUCCUGAUCCUGAUCUCAUGGUUCAAUGUCUUGUGAUCAGGAGCCUUACUGGUGAGAGCUGAUUUUGGGAUGCUGAAGUUUACUUCUCCUGAUCUUGGGAUGCUGAGCUUAACAUCUCUUGGUCACUGUGAGUCUAUUUCAGAAUGCUAAGUUUAGCAUCCCCUGAUGAAAUUCUCACUGCUCAGCCUUGUGUAGUUAAGAGACUUGUUGGUGAGAGCUGAUUUUGAACUUAGCAUCUCAUGGUCACAACCUUGCUGCUCAGUGUUGUGUGAAAAAGAAAUAAUUUAGUGAGAAAACUGACAUAAUGAUGCUGAGCUUAGCAUCCCUUGACCAAGAUCUCACUGCUCACCCUUAUGUGAUCAGGAGACUGGUUGGUGAGAUUUGAUCUCAGGAUGCUGAACUUUGCAAUGGAUAUGACACAGUAACAUUGAUAGGUGGAGACAAUGUGUUGAAACUCUCCUAUCCAUUCCAUACCACCAUGGGAAAAUGGACAUAGAAAUGUGUGUGUGAUGGUGGUACCAUACCAAGAUGACGGAAUGUGUGUGAGAGGGGGGUGGUACACUGUUAUGUAUGCGUACAGUUGUGUGAAGUGCCAACUUGUUUCACCAAUUUUUGUUUUGUUUAUUUUUUUCUGUUUGGUCUUUGUUGUUUUUUUGGAAUAAUUAUUGUUAAGUUGAGCCUAUUACUGCUAAAAAUUGCUAUUAUUUAUCCAGCCAUAUUAUUAUUAUUAUUAUUAUUAUUUUGUCAAUUUAGGGCUGCAAGUGAUGGAGGGGGGGAAUAAAAUUUUUUUUUUUUUUUUUAAGCCUGAACAUUCAAACUCCACCCACCCCUUGAAGCCAGCUUGUUAACUAUAAAUUAUGUAUAUAUAUCUUCUAUAAAAUAAAAAUGAAAAUGGAUAAUAAAUAAUCGAGUGUCACACACCUGCUUCUAAACUGCUGCAUUUCACAAAUAUAUUAUAAAACUUGACUGUAAUGUUGUUUGUGUGUAUGUGUGUGUGUAUGUAUGUUUACAUUUUACAAAUAUAAAUGUUUUUUUCAGGGUUUUAUUGCAAGAUGUAAAAUAUUCCUUAGAAGAAGAAAAAAAUGUGUUUAUGUUACUGAUUUUUCUAAAAAACAAAAAAAAAAAACGCUAAUUAUUAAUUAAUUAAUUAAUUAAUUCAGAUAUUAAAUUGUACAAACUCUGUUGCAUUUUCUUUCAAAAUUUACAUGUUUUGUUAACGAUGACCUACAAUCAAACUUUGUUGUUUUUUUUCCCUUCUUCCUCUUCCUCCAGUUUUUGCUGUUCUUUCUUCAUUCUCUUUCUUCUUCAUUCUUCCACUUCAUUCUUCUUCUUCAAUUCUUCUUUGUUCUUCAGUUAAAAUAUGCCUUUUAUUCCAUUUCAUUCUUCAUUUUAAUCCAUCUUCGCUUGUUUUUUUUUUUUUUGCCCUCCAUAUAAACAAAUAUUAUAAAAUUUUGUUAUCACCAGUCUGUUACAUAUGAAAUAUGGCCCUUUUUUUUCCUUUCUUUUUUUCUUCUUUCAAGCCUUUUUCAAGUUGACAUCUUGUCCUACGUUUACUUCCCAGACACUUCAGAAUUUUCAAAAUAACCUAAAUAACCCAUCCAAACCAAACUGGGUUCAAAUCCUACUGAAAUGCUUUUAUUCCUUCUGAGGAUUAAAUGCCACUUUUUAUACUGGGGGAAACUUUACACCAACAACUGGACCUCUACAUGGUUGUUUGAUCUGCUAGAAAUAGCAGGCAUAUUUCCCUGCCUCUUAUCCCACCUCAAAACAGGAAGGACACAGUGUGGUUACAUAUCUAUAUAUAAUAUACAUAAUAAAAGGCAGAAUGAUUAGUGUGGCAGAGAAAAUGCUUAGCAGCAUUUAUUCUCACUCUUUAAAUUCUGAGUUCAAAUCCUACUGCAGUCAGAUAUGUCAUUCAUCAUUUCUAGGUUAAAAUACAGUACCAGUCAAUUAAUGGGGUUAGUGAUAUCAGCUGCCCCUGUGAUUAAGCAAGGACACACACACAUAAAAACAGAACCGUGGGGUAUUUAGAAACUGGAGCUGCAUCUGAUGGGAUGAACAUGGAUUACAUGUAGCAUUAGUCAUUAUUAUAUUCAUGUAUGUGAACCACCAUUUACUGUUGAAACAGUAAUUAUGGUGAAGGAAUAAAUGCAAUACCAUUGCCCCCAUUCUUGGACUCUCUCUCUAUAUAUAUCUAUCUAUCUAUCUAUAUAUAUAUUUGUACAAUCAUAUUUUGUCAGUAUGCCGUAUUAUAUCCAACCAGUUUUGCACCGUGAAUUAAAUAGCCAGAUCUUAGGUAGCAGCACGGCUAAGAAAAGAUUGACUGAAAUGGAUCCAUGACAUUGUGUAUUCUUAUAUACGCUCGUGUAUAUAUAUAUAUAUAUACACUUAUAUAGAUACAUGGGAUAACCAAAGCUACAGUAGAAUGCCUUUGAUUGCAGGUCCUCUCUCAGUCACCACUUAUCUGGACCCUGAACAAAGUAUCUUUAGAAACUUGGUGGGUGAACUAAAGACAAAUAGGUCAACACUUACGCCCCACUUUUUACCAAAAAAAAAAAAAAAACUCCCACAAGUGAUUCAUAUUUUUUUUUGAAUGUGGAUAAUUCAACAAAAUAAUUAAUUCUGUGUUCUUUGAUGUCUGUGAAAAACUGAAAAAUUUCCAAAA